Molecule: non-coding RNA, 1065 nt
Organism: Camelina sativa (false flax)
Lineage: Eukaryota; Viridiplantae; Streptophyta; Magnoliopsida; Brassicales; Brassicaceae
Source: RefSeq, a predicted model, not a curated record
CUAUUCUCACCCUAGACUCUUCGAUAUAGUCUUGCAUUUGGAAGAAGCUCACUUUCACCUUGAUCCUUUCCAUUUGGCUUUAGAGGUGUGCUCACAGGGUUGCAGCUUCUCAUUCCAAAUUUUUCUAACAACUAUUGAGCAUACUUCUGUUGACUUAGAAACACUCCCUCUUCAGUGUAAGUAAUCUCAAACCCAAGAAAGUACUUGAGUUUUCCCAGGUUCCACUUAUGUUGGGCGGCUAAAGCAAUUAUUGUUCUGAUUGUGUCGUGUCUGGAUACUGGAGCAAAUGUUUCACCAUAAUCCUCUCCAUAGAUUUCAUCAUCCAUAGCAAUCCUCCAUUCCUUGCUAUUUAUAGCUUCUUCAAAUGUAGAAGGUUCCUCCCAUGUAAGGUAACAUGCUUCUGCAACAUGAUUCAAGUCUUCCCCUUGUUCCUCUGUAUCAUGAUACACAUCAUCCAGUCUUCUGACUUUGUGAACGACACGAGAAGAGCUCCUACGCUCAGUUUCUCCUCCACUUAAUUGAAAAGGUGCAGGUAUCCACACAUGACAAACACAGCCAAAAACCUUAAGAUGACCAACAGAGGGUUUGUGACCACUCCAGGCCUCAAGCGGUGUUUUCUGGUUUAAAGCCUUGGUGGGGAGUCUGUUUUGAAGAGUCCUGUUUCUUCGUUCAGCAACUCCAUUUUGUUGUGUUUGAGUUUCCACCAUACUCUUAAACUUCUUGAAGGUUGCAAAUGUAUCUGACUUCAGCCUCAGAAAGUACAUCCAUAACAUAUGUGAGAAAUCAUCUGUAAAGGUUUUGUAAGUUGUGGAAACCAGAAUGUCCGAGUCUUUUAUGCCAAAGUUCAGACAAAUUCUCCUUAGUGGCCACCCUUACACUCUCCUCAGCUAACUGCAUUCGUAACAAGAUUACGUUCACCGGAAUCGACCGAGCUCUGAUACCAUGUUCUUUGUUACUGUUUUUAACAGCCUCUUUGUCUCUUAUCUUAAACUUUUUUUUAACAUUCAUUAUACACCUUACAACAUAUUUAUACUUAGGUUAAGCUUUUAACCUAUAGUUUCAUUA